Long non-coding RNA from Mustela lutreola (European mink), 1046 nucleotides. RefSeq lists it as uncharacterized. Lineage: Eukaryota; Metazoa; Chordata; Mammalia; Carnivora; Mustelidae. The record is from RefSeq and is a predicted model, not a curated record. The transcript has 3 exons.
UUGCUGGACUGAGAUCAAGCGGUUCAUGGUGCCAAAAAACCAGGGAAGCUGCUGAGGCUCCAAGGGCGCUGCAGAAGGGCCUUCAGGGGCAGCAUCACCCCACUGAGCGGUGGCCUGGCAUGCAGAUCCAUGGGACCGCUGGUGUCGGUCCUGCACCCCGGCUCACCAGGGCUCACAGCUCAGGUGCUCCUUUGCACAUUCCUUAAAGGGAAGCCCCUUGCUGGGGUGAGCUCCCACGGACUUGGGAAUGAAAGCCCCAACCAAGCAUCUAGAGAUUCUAGGUGCUUCCAGCCCAUCAGCUCAUUCAAUGGAUACUCUCAUCACCCUCACCAUGAUCAUCAUCCCUUACCCCUGUCCGACACUGGACAAAGAGGCACAGAAUCUUAAUUCACUAGCCAGAGUCCUCCCCAGAGAUGCUUGUAGGAGAAAAGAAUAUUCACUUCUGGAAUUCAUCAGCUCCAGCUGUUUACUUCCAUUUGAGGCCAGAAACUUAUUUUUUCCCCCUGUGGUUAACUUUCUUAUGGGAGAGGGGGAAGGAAGGCCUCUAACAUGCAAUUAUCAGAAAUUGUUACCCUUCACCAACAAAAUCACUCAAUUUGUCCCAAAUGUUGACUGAGAGCUCACCACCAGACCAGAGGAGACAAGAUAUGGGGGGCUGAAGGAUCUUAAUAGAAUCCAGGGUCUUCCACCAUCUCCAGCUGCAUUCUUCAAGGAUAGGAUUCUGUGAUCAGAGAAGUCAAGGAAAUGCUGGGCUACACGAAUUUGUCUACUAUAGGAUUUCCUAGAGUCGACGUAAGCUAAUAAAGCUGUAAUGCUCCAAUAGUCACCAAUAAUCUUCCAUGCUGGGGCGUCCCAGUGGCUCAGUUGGUUAAGUGUCUGACUCUUGGUUUUGGCUCAGAUCAUGAUCUCACAGGUUGUAGGAUAAAGGCCCGCUUCAAGCUCAGCGCUCAGCAGGAGUCUGCCUGGAUAUUCUCUCCCUCUCCUUCUGCCCCUUUCCCCACUUGCAUAUGCACUCUCUAUCUCAAUAAGAUAGAUAGAUGAUAGAU